Molecule: ribosomal RNA, 423 nt
Filed under: Triticum aestivum (bread wheat)
Lineage: Eukaryota; Viridiplantae; Streptophyta; Magnoliopsida; Poales; Poaceae
Description: partial small subunit ribosomal RNA
Source: RNAcentral
GGUUGCAAUCAUCUUGUUAUCAACUCUCACAACAUGGAAGUCAUUGACACAAUGAAGAACGGAGGACAUUCUGCAGGAGCGAUUUUUUAUGAUUGUUUUUUUAUGGCUUGUGAUUUUCCUCUUGCUAGCUUUGAACAUUGUAAUAGGGAAGCGAACAAGAUAGCGCAUGAGUUUGCUCGACUAGCAAAAUGUUCCGUGAUGAGGGAUUGGAUCGAGGAGCCUAUGAGAAAUAUUGUAUGUCUUCUUAUAGACGAUGUAACCAUUACUAGCGUGGGCUGCCUGACUGUAGCGAUUGCAGCCUCUGGUUCCCGGGGCCUCGGAAGGCUCCCGGUUAAUUACUCCCGUGGGUUACUCCGUGGGAUACCUUCGAUUAAGCUGUGUGAUCGUCUUCGUCAUCUUUGCUUUUGUGUUCUCCAUGCAUGA